RNAcentral lists this ribosomal RNA (345 nucleotides) under uncultured bacterium. RNAcentral describes it as "bacterial SSU rRNA". It matches the Rfam family "Bacterial small subunit ribosomal RNA", at positions 32 to 355 of the family's 1533-position model. The record is from RNAcentral.
AAUCAACGCUGGCGGCGUGCCUCAGACAUGCAAGUCGAACGCUGCUGUUCGCCUUCGGGUGGACAGCGGAGUGGCGCACGGGUGAGUAACACGUAGGUAAUCUACCUUUGGGUGGGGAAUAACAGCCGGAAACGGCUGCUAAUACCGCAUAAUGCAGCGGCAUCACAUGAUGACAGUUGUUAAAGCGAGGGAUCGUAAGACCUCGCGCCUGAAGAGGAGCCUGCGGCAGAUUAGGUAGUUGGUGAGGUAAUGGCUCACCAAGCCUGCGAUCUGUAACCGGCCUGAGAGGGCGGUCGGUCACACUGACACUGACAUACGGGUCAGACUCCUACGGGAGGCAGCAGU